Molecule: ribosomal RNA, 423 nt
Filed under: uncultured Glomeraceae
Lineage: Eukaryota; Fungi; Glomeromycota; Glomeromycetes; Glomerales; Glomeraceae
Description: SSU rRNA
Rfam family: Eukaryotic small subunit ribosomal RNA
Source: RNAcentral
GGGAGGUAGUGACAAUAAAUAACAAUAUAGGGGCCCCUUUGGGUCAUAUAAUUGCAAUGAGUACAAUUUAAAUCCCUUAACGAGGAAUCAAUUGGAGGGCAGGUCUGGUGCCAGCAGCCGCGGUAAUUCCAGCUCCAAUAGCGUAUAUUAAAGUUGCUGCAGUUAAAAAGCUCGUAGUUGAAUCUCGGGACCAUCAUGUCGGUCGUGCCUCGGUACGUACUGGUAUUGUUGGUUUCUCCCUUCUGACGAACCAUGAUGUCAUUUAUUUGGUGUUGUGGGGAAUCAGGACUGUUACUUUGAAAAAUUAGAGUGUUUAAAGCAGGCUCACGCUUGAAUACAUUAGCAUGGAAUAAUGAAAUAGGACGUUUGAUUCUAUUUUGUUGGUUUCUAGGAUCGACGUAAUGAUUAAUAGGGAUAGUUGGG